RNAcentral lists this ribosomal RNA (494 nucleotides) under uncultured bacterium. RNAcentral describes it as "partial 16S ribosomal RNA". It matches the Rfam family "Bacterial small subunit ribosomal RNA", at positions 28 to 507 of the family's 1533-position model. The record is from RNAcentral.
GACGAACGCUGGCGGCGUGCUUAACACAUGCAAGUCGAACGGUGAAGCGCCUUCCUUUUUGGUGGGUGUGGAUGAGUGGCGAACGGGUGAGUAACACGUGAGUAACCUGCCCCCUUCUUCUGGAUAACCGCAUGAAAGUGUGGCUAAUACGGGAUAUUCUGGGUCUGUCGCAUGAUGGGUCUGGGAAAGAUAUUGUUUCGGUGGGGGAUGGGCUCGCGGCCUAUCAGCUUGUUGGUGGGGUGAUGGCCUACCAAGGCGGUGACGGGUAGCCGGCCUGAGAGGGUGGCCGGUCACACUGGGAUUGAGACACGGCCCAGACUCCUACGGGAGCCAGCAGUGGGGAAUAUUGCACAAUGGGCGCAAGCCUGAUGCAGCGACGCCGCGUGAGGGAUGGAGGCCUUCGGGUUGUGAACCUCUUUCGCCAGUGAAGCAGGCCUGCCUCGUUUGUGGGUGGGUUGACGGUAGCUGGAUAAGAAGCGCCGGCUAACUACGUG